CUGAGACUUCUGCACCAUCUGAACCAUCAGUCACUCUCUGGCCCAGAGAGGUGGUGUUAUUUGCCAAGGACACACAGCAGGUGGCCAAGAUGGAGCCAAGCCAUUUUCCCCACUGCAGGGACCCCUGAUCUCCAUUCCCCUGGACAUCUCAAGGGCACAAAUUCUCUGGACACACGGAGGGAAUAAUGCUGACAUUUUAUAGAAGCUGACCCACUGGAUAUCCUUCUCACCCAACUCCAUUAGGCUGGGGAGAGUAAGAGGCACGGUGACAAGGUGGCAAAGAUGUCACCAUGCCAUCCAAUCACGAGGUCUCCAGGAAACUGUAUAAGAAGGACACCUCCAGAAACUCCUGGCACUACUGAACAAAUGUAUAAUAUCCCUGGGUAAAACCAAGAGUCCUCUCGC
Molecule: long non-coding RNA, 405 nt
Filed under: Homo sapiens (human)
Lineage: Eukaryota; Metazoa; Chordata; Mammalia; Primates; Hominidae
Description: non-protein coding lnc-LRP5L-4:1
Source: RNAcentral